CAAGGCGUCGUUGACGACCUCGGACUUGGACUCGGCCACCCUUGGCUUAAUUUGCGUGGACUUGAUAAAGGCGCAAAGUCGUUUCCGAUAAAAAGGCCAACGCAAGGGGAAAUAUUU
Molecule: long non-coding RNA, 117 nt
Organism: Drosophila innubila
Lineage: Eukaryota; Metazoa; Arthropoda; Insecta; Diptera; Drosophilidae
Exons: 2
Source: RefSeq, a predicted model, not a curated record